This 3092-nucleotide transfer RNA is filed under the name Marmota monax (woodchuck). Lineage: Eukaryota; Metazoa; Chordata; Mammalia; Rodentia; Sciuridae. The record is from RNAcentral.
UUUAAAUAAUUUAAAAAAAAAUUUAUUUUUAAUUGUAGUUGGACACAUGUCUUUAUUUUAUUUAUUUAUUUUUAUGUGGUGCUGAGGAUUGAACCCAGGGCCCUGCAUGUUCUAGGUGCGCAUGCUUACCACUGGUCUUCAACCCCAGCCCCCAAAGGUUUAUGAAACCUUUAUAUGAAUCCUCAUAUACUGCCUUCCCAGUUCCCACAAUUUUCCCUAUUUCUUUUCUUCCUCUCCUCUACCACCGAGGCCUUCCUUUUCCUCUUCGUCCUCCUCCUCCUCCUCCUCCUCCUUCUCCUUCUCCUCCUUCUCCUUCUCCUCCUUCUCCUCCUCCUCCUCCUCCUCUUCCUCCUCCUUCUUCCUUCUCUCUCUCUCUCUCUCUCUCUCUCUCUCUUAUUUUGGGUGCUGGUACUGUGGAUUGAAUGCAUACUAAUCAAGUGAGCUCAUGCUACUACUGAACUACACCCAAGCCUAGUUUCCUCUAUUAAUAUCUGUGGAAUACUUGUUACAAUUGAUAAAUCAGUAUUGAUUGACAUAGCAUCACAACCAAAGUUCAAAAUUUGUUUGAGUUCAAUCUCUGUGUUGUACAUUAUUUGGAUUUUGCCAAAUGUAUAACUUUUGGCAAAAAACUUUAGGUAUCCAUGACUGUAGUGUAUAAAAUAGUUUCACUGCCCUAAGCUUCUCUGUGUACCCCCUAGUAAUACUUCCCUCCGUCCCGUUCAGAAACAACUGGUCAUUUUAUUCUCUCUAUAGUUUUGCAUUUUCCAGAAUGUCGUAUAGUUGGAAUUAUACAGCACAUAGACUUCAGAUUGGCUGUUUGAACUUAGCAAAAUGGCAUUUAAGAUUCCACCAUGUCUUUUUGUGUCUCUAUUGUUCAUUUUUUAAAAAUAUUUUUUUAGUUGUAGAUGGAUACAAUACCUUUAUUUUUUUAUUUUUAUGUGGUGCUGAGGAUCACACUCAGUGCCUCAUACAUGCAAGGCAAGUGCUCUGCCACUGAGCUACAACCCCAGCCCUUGUUCAUGUAUUUUUAUUUUGGAAUAUAUUCCAUUGUCUGGAUGUUUCAGUUUGUUUACCCAUUCACAUAUGAAAGGCCAUCUCGACUACUUUGGAGCUGAAUUGGUUUGGCAGAUGGCUCUUAAAGGGCACAGCCAGCUGGGCCUGUAGCAAGUAGUGACCACUAGAGGGCAACAGAGUCCCUUAUUCUCUCUACCCUGGUAGAUGUAAGACAUUUCUUUCUUUCUUUUUUGGUGGUGGUAGGGGGAGAGUUUACUGGGAAUUGAACUCAGGGAUACUUGACCACUGAGCCAUAUCCCCACCCCUAUUUUGUAUUUUAUGUAAAGACAGGGUCUCACUGAGUUGCUUAGUUUCUUGCUGUUGCAGAGGCUGGCUUUGAAUUUGCAAUCCUCCUAACUUAGCCUCCCAAGCUGCUGGGAUUACAGUAUGUAAUCCCAACAUGCCUGGCAAAUGUAAGCCAUUUCUUGUUGAUCUAGACUUGAUCUGGUAUUUGCUCUGAGCUAGACAUUUGUGGGAAAAAGAUAAGUUGGACUGACUUUCUUUGAUGUAAAUACCAGGGUUUCAUGACUAGAUGUUUCCUUGAAAUUGACUACAGUUUUCUUACUUCAUCAUUUAUUGAGCUUGUCUAGACUAGCAACUUGUCCCAAAGAAGCUAAACGAAAUGCCAGCUGGACUGUUUAGCUAUAGAGAUGAGAGUGCGGACAUCAAGGAGAAAAAGCUGCCCUAAGUCCUGAUUUACUAGGAGGGCAAUGCCAGGCAGCCCCUUGCCCAGGCAUGCUUGGACUGGUUGAAUGAGAAACCAGGGGACUCAGUACAAAGUGGAAUCACUUGGUGUAUUAAGUUCAUUUCCCUUUACUGUAAUGAAAUACCUGAGGCUGAAGACUUUAUAAAGAAAAGAGAUUUAGCUGGGUAUCGUGGUACAAGCCUGUAAUGCCAGCAACUUGGGAGACUGGGGAAGGAGGAUCACAAGUUUGAUGUCAUCCUCGACAACUUAGUGAGGCCCUAAGUGACUCACUGAGACCCUGUCUCCAAAAAAAAUGUGUGGGGGGGGGGGGUGGCACCAAGGAUGUACCUCAGUUGUAGAGUGCCCAUAGGUUCAUACCCUACUACCAAAAAAAUUUUAAAAAGAAAUACAAGAAGUUUAUUUAGCUCAGUUUUUGAGGCCAAGAUCCAGGAUCAGGCGACCCCAUCAAUUCAUCCUUUGGUUAUGACCUCCUUGGCUGGAUUGCAUCAUGGUGGAAGCAUGCACAAGAGAAAGAGAUCACAUGCCAAGACAGAAGCCAGAAGGAAAUGGGAUCCCACAGUCCCUUCUGAAGUAAGCAUCCCAAUGACCUAACAACCUCUCCCCAGCUCCACCACCCCCAGCAUCACCACACUGAAGACCAAGCUUCCAACAUGUGAAACUGGGAGCACACACUCAAACCAUACCCAAACCUCAGUAUUUAGGAAACAUGCUUUCUCACUCUAGUCAGAGGGACUUACCUCAAGAGGAUGUAUCCCCUGUCCAGUGAUGUGUUGUUAUUUUUAAUUUUUUUUAAGUUGUCAAUGGACCUUUUAUUUAUUUAUAUGCAUGUGGUGCUUAAGAUUAAAUGCAGGACCUCACACGUGCCAGGCAGCCCUCUACCACUGAGCCCCAACUCCAGCUCCCCAGUGAUGUGUUGAGCAGUUGUUGCCAGCUGAAGAUGGAACUUUCUCCUAGUGUAUAGGGAGUGCUCCUCAGGAAGCCUCAGACAUGGGUAUGCACAGCCACCUGAGCAGUGUUCAUCAUUGCCGUCAACAAAGCACUGUAAUACAGAUAUUUACAGAUACUGAUCAGGUUUGGGGUUUUGUUUUGCUUUGUUUUGUACAUUGAACCCAAGGGUGCUUUUUCAGACAGGGCCUCGCUAUGUUAUCACACUGAGUUGCCACAGCUUGCUUUGAACUUGCAAUCUUCCUGCCUCAGCCUCCUGAGUCUCUGGGAUUAUGGGCAUGUGCCACAACGUGCAGUCAGAAAAAUUUUAUUUAUUUAUUUUUUUUAAUUUUUAUUUUUUUUAAAGAGAGAGAUUUUUUUAAAAAAAUAUUUAUUUUUUAGUUUUCGG